RNAcentral lists this long non-coding RNA (799 nucleotides) under Olea europaea (common olive). Its description in RNAcentral is "long non-coding RNA (OEUR_LNC010642)". The record is from RNAcentral. Lineage: Eukaryota; Viridiplantae; Streptophyta; Magnoliopsida; Lamiales; Oleaceae.
CGAUCACGAAUCAAAAAAAUUAUAAAUCAAGAUUUAUUUAGUAGUCACAAAUCACAAAUAUUAUAAGUCACAACUUAUAGUACAAUCACAUAUUAUCAAUCAUAGAUUAACAAUUUUUUAGGUCACACAUUAUUUUUUUUUGUCACAAUUUACCUUUUUUAUUGAUCAUGUAUCGUUUAUUAGUUAUAGUCAAUCAAAUAAUUUGCGAACACCACAAUUACCAUCUUCUGAGCUACCACAUCCACAAAUGCAUCAUCACACCAUCUCACCACCAUUGAAAAUCGCCACAAAAACUGCCAUCAACACAUCACUAUUGCCACUUGUCAUCGCCGCCGCCGCCGCCGCCGCCGCCGCCACAAUUUUCCUUUAUCUUUUACCAAAAAUUCCAUCAUUUUCACCACCCCUUGCUGUCAACACUACCACCAGUGUAGACACCAACAGUAGAACAAUCACUACAAAAAUAAAAUCCUUAUAAAGCAUUUACCAUAUGUGGAAAAAAAAUUAAAAGAAAUCAAGACCAAGAUAUGUGAUAACGGCAGUGGAUCCAGAUCCACAUCUCGAUAGUGUGAAAAUAGAGAUGAUAGUUUGUGGACAAUGAUUGUUGGUGAUUUCGAGAUGGUGGACGAUUAUGGUUAGUGAUAGCGGGAUGGUAAGUCGGUGGAGAUCUAAGCACCGGCGAUGAAGGUAAGUUGUCGGAGAGCUACAAAAUUCCGGUGGAGGUCAGCCGUCGGAAUGAAGAGAGAAGGAAGAGGUAGAGAAAAGGAAUGGGAAAGUGAUUAGGGUUAAUGGUGGAGGGUGG